AGUGAACGCUGGCGGUAGGCCUAACACAUGCAAGUCGAACGGCAGCACAGUAAGAGUUUGCUCUUACGGGUGGCGAGUGGCGGACGGGUGAGGAAUACAUCGGAAUCUACUUUUUCGUGGGGGAUAACGUAGGGAAACUUACGCUAAUACCGCAUACGACCUACGGGUGAAAGCAGGGGAUCUUCGGACCUUGCGCGACUGAAUUAGCCGAUGUCGGAUUAGCUAGUUGGCGGGGUAAAGGCCCACCAAGGCGACGAUCCGUAGCUGGUCUGAGUGGAUGAUCAGCCACACUGGAACUGAGACACGGUCCAGACUCCUACGGGAGGCAGCAGUGGGGAAUAUUGGGCAAUGGGCGCAAGCCUGAUCCAGCCAUACCGCGUGGGUGAAGAAGGCCUUCGGGUUGUAAAGCCCUUUUGUUGGGAAAGAAAAGCAGCAGGUUAAUACCCCGCUGUUCUGACGGUACCCAAAGAAUAAGCACCGGCUAACUUCGUG
Molecule: ribosomal RNA, 492 nt
Filed under: uncultured bacterium
Lineage: Bacteria
Description: partial 16S ribosomal RNA
Rfam family: Bacterial small subunit ribosomal RNA
Source: RNAcentral